This 253-nucleotide ribosomal RNA is filed under the name uncultured bacterium. Its description in RNAcentral is "partial 16S ribosomal RNA". It matches the Rfam family "Bacterial small subunit ribosomal RNA", at positions 524 to 776 of the family's 1533-position model. The record is from RNAcentral.
UACGGAGGGGGCUAGCGUUGUUCGGAAUUACUGGGCGUAAAGCGCACGUAGGCGGCUUUGUAAGUUAGAGGUGAAAGCCCGGGGCUCAACCCCGGAAUUGCCUUUAAGACUGCAUCGCUCGAACGUCGGAGAGGUGAGUGGAAUUCCGAGUGUAGAGGUGAAAUUCGUAGAUAUUCGGAAGAACACCAGUGGCGAAGGCGGCUCACUGGACUGGUAUUGACGCUGAGGUGCGAAAGCGUGGGGAGCAAACAGG